This 3798-nucleotide long non-coding RNA is filed under the name Homo sapiens (human). RNAcentral describes it as "HSALNT0123158". The record is from RNAcentral. Lineage: Eukaryota; Metazoa; Chordata; Mammalia; Primates; Hominidae.
CAGCCUCUCAAGUAGCUGGGACUACAGGCGCAUACCACCAUGUCAGGCUAAUAUUUAUUUUUAUUUUUUUCUGGAGGUGGGGGUCUCACUAUGUUGUUCAUGCUAGUUUCAAACUUCGGGCCUCAAGUGUUCCUCCUGCCUUGACCUCCCAAAGUGUUGGGCUUCUGGGUGGGAGCCACCAUGCUCAGCAGUCACAAGGGUCUUUAUAAAAGAAAGAGAGUAGGAGAUUCAGAAUUGAAGCAGGAGAUGUGGUGAUGAAAGCAGAGGUAAGAGAGGGAGAUUUGAAGAUGCUUCACUUCUGGCUUUGAAGAUGGAGUCAGGGGCCAUGAUCCAAAGAAUGGGGGUGGCUCCUAGAAGCUAGAAAAGCCAAGGGAACACUUUAGAGUCUCCAGAAGGAAUGCAGCCCUGCUGGCACCUUGACUUUAGCCUUAAUGGACCUAGUUUGGGUUUCUGGCGCCUAGAACUGUAAGAUGGUAGAUUUGUGGUGUUUUAAGCCACUAAAUGUAGGAAACUGCAAACUAUGUUGCAGCAGCAAGAAGAAAUGAACAUGAAGCCAGGCAUGAUGGCUCAUGCCGGUAAUCCCAGCACUUUAGGAAUUUAGGCAGGAGGAUCACUUGAGGCCAGGAGUUUAAGACCAGUCUGGGCAACAUAGUAAGACCUUGUCUCUACAAAAAAUGAAAAAACUGGCCAGGCAUGAUGGCUCACGCCUGUAAUUCCAGCACUUUGGGAGGCCGAAGCGGGCAGAUUACCUGAGGUCAGGAGUUCGAGACCAGCCUGGCCAACAUUGCGAAACCCCGGCUCUACUAAAAAUAGAAAAAUUAGCUGGGCGUGGUGGCACGCACCUGUAAUCCCAGCCACUUGGAAGGCUGAGGCAGGAGAAUCACUUGAAUCUGGGAAGUGGAGUUUGUAGUGAGCUGGGAUCGCACCAUUACACUACAGCCUGGGCAAGAAGAGUGAAACUCUGUCUCAAAAUAAAAUAAAAUAAAAUAAAAUACUAAAGAAUUUAGCCAAGCAUGAUGGUGUGAACCUGGAGUCCCAGCUACUCGGGAGACUGAGGUGGGAGGAUCGCUUGAGCCUGGAAAUUUGAGGUUGCAGUGAGCUUUGAUUGCACCACUGCACUCCAGCCUUGGUGACAGUGAGAUCUUGAAAAAAAGAAAGAAGAAAGUAAAGAAAGAAGAAAUGAGCAUGGUGGGCAUGGGGACAGAUGGCAAUGUUAAAUAGAAUGGUCAGGGGUGGCCUCCUAAGUGAAAAUUGAGUAAAGACUUGAAGGAGGGGAAGGAGCUGGCCAAGGUGCUGAGGGAAGAGGCUCGUAGACAGAAACAAUAGAAUAAAGUGUCUGAGGUGUGUCUGAGGCUCUGGAAGGAGGCCCAUGGAGCAGACGGAGAGAGGGAGAGAAUUCGGGGAGGGGGCCAGGGAGUUGCUGGGUGGGGAUCAGUACAGAUCACAUAAGCCCUGGGAGGUUAUUGCUGGGGCUUUGGCUUUUAGUCUGACUCAGAUGGGAACUGCGAGAAGGUUCUGAGCAGAGAGGCGACAUGAUCUGUCUCCCAUUUUAAAAGCGUUCUCUGGCUGCUGAGUUGAGAAAAGACUAUGGGAAGAUGUGGGUAGAAGCAUGGGGGCCAAGCUUUGGCAACAUCCAGGCGGGAGAUGAUGGUUGUCCUGACCAGGGCCAUGGUGGUGUUGAGAGAUGGUCAGAGGGGAGAAGUAGGGGAGGAGGCCAGGGAGUUGCUGGGUGGGGAUCUUUAGUACAUGUCGAAGACAGUCAACAGGAUUUCCUGACAGACUGGAUAUGGGGUGUGAGAGAAGGCAGGGGUCAAGGUUGAGUUUGAUUGUUACUGAAAUUAUUAAGUAAUUUUAAAAAACACUACUGCCUUUCCCAAUCCUACCAAGUAUGGGAUGCUAGAUUAAAGAAAUCUCUUCAGGCUCAUUGCAGUGGCUCAUGCCUGUAGUCCCAGCUGUUUGAUAAGCAGAGGUGGGAGUAUCUUUUAAGGGCAGGUGUUCAAGACCAGCCUGGACAACACAGCAAGAUCUGCUCUUUACAAAAAUAUUUUUCAAAAUGAAAUAAAUGUAGCUAGGCAUGGUGAUGUGUAUUUGUAGUUUCAGCUACUCAGGAGGCUGAAGUGGGCAGAUCUCUUGAGGUCAGGAGUUUGAGGCCAGCUUGGGCAACAUAGCAAGACCCCUCACUCUACAAAAAAAUUAAAAAAAUAACCAGGCAUGGUGGCACUCAACUGUACUACCAGCUACUGGGGAGCUGAGGCAGGAAGAUGGCUUGAGCCCGAGGUCGAGGCUGCAGUGAGCUGUAAGUGCACAGCUGCACUCCAGUCUGGGUGACAGAGCAGGACCUGUCUCACAAUACAAAUAAAAAUACAAGUAAAAUAAUGACAUCUCAAGUCAGAGCCUUUUGGCUCUGCAGCCCUUGCAACCCCUCAGCCGUGCAGUGGGGUUUGCGUCUCUGGGAAUGAGGAGACCCCUGCCCGGUGUUGUUGCCUGACUAAUCAUUGUUUUAAAACAUAUAUUAAUCGGGGUGGGCGUGGUGGCUCACACCUGUAAUCCCAGCACUUAGAGAGACCCAGGCGGGUGGGUCACCUGAGGUCAAGAAUUCAAGACCAGCCUUCUCUGGUCUUGAAUUCUAAGAAAAUACAAUAAUUAGCCGGACAUGGUAGUGGGCGCCUGUAAUCCCAGCUACUUGGGAGGCUGAGGUAGGAGAAUCGCUUGAACCUGCGGGACGGAGGUUGCAAUGAGCUGAGAUUGCGCCACUUCACUCCAGCCUGGGCAAAAGAACAAGACUUUGUCUCAAAGAAAAAAAAAAGUAUUAUAUCAACAUGUAAUGGUUUUAUCACUAAUAUGUAAUGAAUAUUAAAUAUUUUUAAAAUCUUGUAUUAUAUCAACAUGUAACGGCUUUAUUAAUAUGUAAUGAAUAAUAUUUAAAAUUUUUUGUCUUAUUUUCUAGUUUUAAUUAUUUACAGAAAGAAAUAGUCCUAGAGAUCUUCAAUAAAGUUAAAAAAUGUAAAGGGAUGUUAGACCCCAAAAGAUUGAGAAUUUCUAGUUUAGAAAUAUUCAGAGUAAGCCACAUACAACUUGCUACUUGAACUAUUUUUUUUCUUUGUGUUUUAUUUUAGGAGAUGGGGUCUCACCCUGUCACCCAGGCUUGAGUACAGUAGUGCUAUCACAGCUCACUGCAGCCUUGAACUCCUGGGCUAAGGAUCCUCCUACCUGAGCCUCCUGAGUAGCUGGGACUGGUCUCCCUCUCUUGUCCAAGGCUGGAGUGUAGUAGUGCUAUCACAGCUGACUGCAGCCUCAACCUUCCAGGCUGAAGCGAUCCUCCCAUCUCAACUUCCCACGUGGCUGAGACUAUAGGUGCUUGCCACUAUGCCCAACUAAUAUUUGGAAUUUUCCUAUAUGUGGAUUCCAGAGGGGUGACAGCGAAACGUGAGUAAGCAUGGAUUUUGGUAUAUGCAGAGAUGGGGGGCUGGAACUAAUUCUGUAUACUGAGGGACGACUGUAUAUGUUUUUACAAUUACGCUGUAGGAUACAUACUGUUGCAUAGCCUUGAAAAUAAUAAUUUUUAAUUGAGUGGAAUAAUAAUAAUAUUGAUAAAAGUAGCAGCUGGCCAGGUGUGGUGGCUCACACUGGUAAUCGCAACACUUUGGGAGGCUGAGGCAGGAGGAUGGCUUGAGGCCAAGAGUUUGCGAUAGGCCUUGGAAACAAAGGGAGUCACCAUCCCUACAGAAAAAUACAUGAAUUGGCCGGGCGCGGUGGCUCACGCCUGUAGUCCCAGCACUUUGGGAGGCCGAGGCGGGC